UAGAAUAUGGUGUAUAGUUGGUAGCACGAAGAAAUUUGAAUUCUUAGGAUUAGGUUCGAUUCCUUUAAUUCUAG
RNAcentral lists this transfer RNA (74 nucleotides) under Graphiurus kelleni (savanna dormouse). RNAcentral's name for it is "tRNA-Gln". It matches the Rfam family "tRNA". From Rfam's summary of the family: Transfer RNA (tRNA) molecules are approximately 80 nucleotides in length. Their secondary structure includes four short double-helical elements and three loops (D, anti-codon, and T loops). Further hydrogen bonds mediate the characteristic L-shaped molecular structure. tRNAs have two regions of fundamental functional importance: the anti-codon, which is responsible for specific mRNA codon recognition, and the 3' end, to which the tRNAs corresponding amino acid is attached (by aminoacyl-tRNA synthetases). tRNAs cope with the degeneracy of the genetic code in two manners: having more than one tRNA (with a specific anti-codon) for a particular amino acid; and 'wobble' base-pairing, i.e. permitting non-standard base-pairing at the 3rd anti-codon position. Lineage: Eukaryota; Metazoa; Chordata; Mammalia; Rodentia; Gliridae. The record is from RNAcentral.